This 1243-nucleotide long non-coding RNA is filed under the name Equus caballus (horse). Its description in RNAcentral is "lncRNA (ENSECAG00000043450.2)". Lineage: Eukaryota; Metazoa; Chordata; Mammalia; Perissodactyla; Equidae. The record is from RNAcentral.
CCCUUGCCCAGCGUGCUCCCUCCUCUUCAUCCAGCUGGCUUCUCCUCAUCUGAGUCUCAGUGGAACGUCAAGACCAUCCUUGACUCGCCCACCUGCUGCUAACCUCUCCCUCACAUCACACUAUGUGAAUGGUCUCUAUGGCAUUUAUCCUGAAUGCCGGUUUUCUUCUUAGUUUAUCUGCAUUUGAUUUUGCCUGUCCCCGGGACCAGAAUGUCAGCCCCACGAGGGCAGAGGCAUCUGUCUUCAUCCCCUGUGCUGAGAACAGCACCUGGCACACAGUGGACACACGGCAGAGGGACAUUGAAUGGUCAGUGACCUCUCUGCACCUCACCUCCCCAUCUGACACUGUUUCCCAAAGGGAUCUCCAGCAAUUCGGGGAAAAAAGGAGAAGAGAUGGAGGAGAAAAUGAUCCCCAGGAAAUGCCAAAGAGGUGAAGUCUCAGAAAGGAAGACCUUCUGUUUCCAGGAGCUGUUUCUGGUGUCAGAAGUGGAAUCUAAAGAAGAUCCCCUGCCCCAACAACUCUGAGGCCGGUGACCAAAUCAAGGUGCCGGUACCUACAGAGCCCUGUGAGCUCACUGCUUUCUCACCAACCAUGGAGUUCAUAGGUUAAGUCUGUCUUGGAUUUGAGCUCUGUUCUUUUUGCAUUUUGAGCCCUCUGACUUUAUUGUGCAUGCUUAUAUUUUAUGUAUUGAAGCUUCUGGUUAAGUCACCCUAUCCCGUUCAAGAGAGGGCAAAAUGUGUGAUUCCAUUUGUUUUGGAACAGCCGUUGAAAACAGAACCCCUCAUAGUUAAGAUGUUUUAGGGAAUCUAAAGUCAAAGAUGGGUUCGACCUGGUCUAAAAUUCUUUCUCUACCUCCCUUGAAAAUUCCUCCUUCCUAAAUGUAUGGCCACUAUGAACCAGGAUUUUGUGCCUUUUUGGGAAAUGGUUAAACUUUUGGAUAAUUUGGAAUGAUAAUGGUCAUUUUGGAGAAACUUUAACUUAGAUAAGAUAGUUCACCUUAAGCGGCACUCUUGAAGAGAGAGGAUCCGAAACCUCUCAGAGACAGUGGAAUGCGUUCUUUGAUUGUUGUGCAGGAGCUCCUAAAAGACAAAAUGAUUCCAAAGAUAGCUUCUCUAAAAGAAUGCAAAUAAAAAAGGAUGCAAAUGAAAAAUCUUUAGUAAAAAUCUUGGUCCAUCUGAGCAGGUAACCUUAGUCUAUCCACCAGAAAUACUAUUUGGAUCCAGCUGUUCUUUCAGGUUUUGU